CCUACGGGAGGCUGCAGUGAGGAAUAUUGCACAAUGGGCGCAAGCCUGAUGCAGCCAUGCCGCGUGUGUGAAGAAGGCCUUCGGGUUGUAAAGCACUUUCAGCGGGGAGGAAGGCGGUGAGGUUAAUAACCUCAUCGAUUGACGUUACCCGCAGAAGAAGCACCGGCUAACUCCGUGCCAGCAGCCGCGGUAAUACGGAGGGUGCAAGCGUUAAUCGGAAUUACUGGGCGUAAAGCGCACGCAGGCGGUCUGUCAAGUCGGAUGUGAAAUCCCCGGGCUCAACCUGGGAACUGCAUUCGAAACUGGCAGGCUAGAGUCUUGUAGAGGGGGGUAGAAUUCCAGGUGUAGCGGUGAAAUGCGUAGAGAUCUGGAGGAAUACCGGUGGCGAAGGCGGCCCCCUGGACAAAGACUGACGCUCAGGUGCGAAAGCGUGGGGAGCAAACAGGAUUAGAUACCCGAGUAGUC
This 465-nucleotide ribosomal RNA is filed under the name uncultured Klebsiella sp. Its description in RNAcentral is "bacterial SSU rRNA". It matches the Rfam family "Bacterial small subunit ribosomal RNA", at positions 338 to 795 of the family's 1533-position model. The record is from RNAcentral. Lineage: Bacteria; Pseudomonadati; Pseudomonadota; Gammaproteobacteria; Enterobacterales; Enterobacteriaceae.